Molecule: ribosomal RNA, 420 nt
Filed under: uncultured bacterium
Lineage: Bacteria
Description: partial 16S ribosomal RNA
Rfam family: Bacterial small subunit ribosomal RNA
Source: RNAcentral
UAGGGAAUCUUCCACAAUGGACGCAAGUCUGAUGGAGCAACGCCGCGUGAGUGAAGAAGGCUUUUCGGGUCGUAAAACUCUGUUAUUGAAGAAGAACGUGCGUGACAGUAACUGGUCAUGCAGUGACGGUAUUCAAUCAGAAAGUCACGGCUAACUACGUGCCAGCAGCCGCGGUAAUACGUAGGUGGCAAGCGUUGUCCGGAUUUAUUGGGCGUAAAGCGAGUGCAGGCGGUCUUUUAAGUCUGAUGUGAAAGCCUUCGGCUUAACCGAAGAAGGGCAUCGGAACUGGGAGACUUGAGUGCAGAAGAGGAGAGUGGAACUCCAUGUGUAGCGGUGAAAUGCGUAGAUAUAUGGAAGAACACCAGUGGCGAAGGCGGCUCUCUGGUCUGUAACUGACGCUGAGGCUCGAAAGCGUGGGUA